UAGGAAUAGGACUGACUGACUAGGGA
This 26-nucleotide non-coding RNA is filed under the name Bombyx mori (domestic silkworm). The record is from RNAcentral. Lineage: Eukaryota; Metazoa; Arthropoda; Insecta; Lepidoptera; Bombycidae.